Molecule: ribosomal RNA, 271 nt
Filed under: uncultured bacterium
Lineage: Bacteria
Description: partial 16S ribosomal RNA
Rfam family: Bacterial small subunit ribosomal RNA
Source: RNAcentral
GUCCUAGCCGUAAACGAUGGGCACUGGGUAGGGGGAAGCCUAUGCUCUUCCCUGCCGAAGCAAAUGUAUUAAGUGCCCCGCCUGGGGAGUACGCUCGCAAGGGUAAAACUCAAAGGAAUUGACGGGGGCUCACACAAGCGGUGGAGCAUGUGGUUCAAUUCGAAGCAACGCGAAGAACCUUACCUGGCCUUGACAUCCAUGGAUUAAUCCCCUGAAAGGGGGAUACUGCUCUUCGGAGCCGGAACAUGGACAGGUGUUGCAUGGCUGUCGU